CAAAUCUUCCACCACAAUUUGGUGUCAGAAGUGGGAUCGUUUGAAGCUCCGUCGGGACUCCGAGGACGUCCGGGAAGGGGCCACUUCAGGAUCCACCAAACGUGAUUCUGCCCUAUACCUCAUCACACUCAGAGAGAGGGGACCGGCGACCAAAAGAGACCUGAUUGGCUUCAACACGAUCCGAUGAGGAAGAUUUUCACACGAAUCGGUCUCACAGGGGCUGGCGGCCCUCUCCUCAACACAUGCCCACCACCGUACCCUGCUUCAUCUGCGAACCAGCAACCUCCGUCUGCAGGAGCACAUAUCAAAGUUCACUACACCCGGCAGAGGGAGGAAAAGGAAGCGGCAGUGAAAGCAGCACAGGAACGACUCCUCGGCGAAGAGGAGGAAAAGAGACAGGCUGCUCUCCCCACUCGCUCUCGCUCUCCAGGAGCAACCGGAGGGGACACUUCUGCCAUCAACAAACUGAUUGCAGAGCAACCAUCUACAUCAGAUGUUUUUUCCCUCUCUUUCGACCCAGAGGGAGUUCCCCCGGAUGCAAAAUCUGUGCUCCAAACCCCAAUGAUUCAAGUACCAGGACACUCAGGUCCCAUACUUGUUUUCCGGCCUUGGACUGAUACGGACAUUAGAGCUGCAAUGGCUCAUCUCCCGCCGAUACAGCACUCGGGAAGACUGUUUGCUGAAGCAUUCAUGGACUUCUGUAAGCAAUUCCUGCCCAACUUUGCUGAAAUUCGACGUGUUCUAAUGAGUCACGUGGGUCCGACUCACUACCAAAAGCUCAACCAGCUGGUUGCAGGAGACACCAGUGCGGCCGAUGUUGAAUGGAGUUCAAAUCAAAAAAAGCCGUACAGAGACGCACUCACGGCUUUGAGCGACGGCAUAAAGACAUUGUUCCUGACAAAGUGGAUAUGACUCCC
This is a long non-coding RNA of Gasterosteus aculeatus aculeatus (three-spined stickleback), 917 nucleotides long. The record is from Ensembl. NCBI's taxonomy places the organism in Eukaryota, Metazoa, Chordata, Actinopteri, Perciformes, Gasterosteidae.